RNAcentral lists this ribosomal RNA (465 nucleotides) under uncultured bacterium. RNAcentral's name for it is "partial 16S ribosomal RNA". It matches the Rfam family "Bacterial small subunit ribosomal RNA", at positions 331 to 793 of the family's 1533-position model. The record is from RNAcentral.
CCAGACUCCUACGGGAGGCAGCAGUGAGGAAUAUUGGUCAAUGGGAGGAAUCCUGAACCAGCCAUGCCGCGUGCAGGACGACGGCUCUACGAGUUGUAAACUGCUUUUGUACCGGGGUAAAAUGCCCUACGAGUAGGGUUUUGAAAGUACGGUACGAAUAAGGAUCGGCUAACUCCGUGCCAGCAGCCGCGGUAAUACGGAGGAUCCGAGCGUUAUCCGGAUUCAUUGGGUUUAAAGGGUGCGUAGGUUGUUAAUUAAGUCAGCGGUGAAAGUUUGUGGCUCAACCAUAAAAUUGCCGUUGAAACUGGUUGACUUGAGUAUAUUUGAGGUAGGCGGAAUGCGUGGUGUAGCGGUGAAAUGCAUAGAUAUCACGCAGAACUCCGAUUGCGAAGGCAGCUUACUAAACUAUAACUGACACUGAAGCACGAAAGCGUGGGGAUCAAACAGGAUUAGAUACCCCCGUAU